CCUACGGGUGGCUGCAGUGGGGAAUAUUGCACAAUGGGGGAAACCCUGAUGCAGCGACGCCGCGUGAGUGAAGAAGCACUUCGUUAUGUAAAGCUCUAUCAGCAGGGAAGAAAAUUACGGUACCUUUUGAAUACGCCACGGCCAACUACGUGCCAGCAGCCGCGGUAUUACGUAGGUGGCAAGCGUUGUCCGGAUGUACUGGGUGUAAAGGGCGUGCAGCCGGGAAGAAAGGGCAGAUGUAAAAUCCUGCGGCUCAACCGCGGAACUGCAUUUGAAACUGGUUUGCUUGAGUGCCGAAGAGGUCGUCGGAAUGCGUGGUGUAGCGGUGAAAUGCGUAGAUAUAAGGAAGAACACCGAUUGCGAAGGCAUCUCACGAAGCCGCGAUUGACGCUGAUGCACGAAAGCGUGGGUAUCAAACAGGAUUAGAUACCCCUGUAGUC
RNAcentral lists this ribosomal RNA (440 nucleotides) under uncultured bacterium. RNAcentral describes it as "partial 16S ribosomal RNA". It matches the Rfam family "Bacterial small subunit ribosomal RNA", at positions 338 to 795 of the family's 1533-position model. The record is from RNAcentral.